GACGAACGCUGUGCGGCGUGCUUAACACAUGCAAGUCGAACGGAAAGGCCCUGCUUUUGUGGGGUGCUCGAGUGGCGAACGGGUGAGUAACACGUGAGUAACCUGCCCUUGACUUUGGGAUAACUUCAGGAAACUGGGGCUAAUACCGGAUAGGAGCUCCUGCUGCAUGGUGGGGGUUGGAAAGUUUCGGCGGUUGGGGAUGGACUCGCGGCUUAUCAGCUUGUUGGUGGGGUAGUGGCUUACCAAGGCUUUGACGGGUAGCCGGCCUGAGAGGGUGACCGGCCACAUUGGGACUGAGAUACGGCCCAGACUCCUACGGGAGGCAGCAGUGGGGAAUAUUGCACAAUGGGCGGAAGCCUGAUGCAACAACGCCGCGUGCGGGAUGACGGCCUUCGGGUUGUAAACCGCUUUCGCCUGUGACGAAGCGUGAGUGACGGUAAUGGGUAAAGAAGCACCGGCUAACUACGUGCCACCAGCCGCGGUGAUACGUAGGGUGCGAGCGUUGUCCGGAUUUAUUGGGCGUAAAGGGCUCGUAGGUGGUUGAUCGCGUCGGAAGUGUAAUCUUGGGGCUUAACCCUGAGCGUGCUUUCGAUACGGGUUGACUUGAGGAAGGUAGGGGAGAAUGGAAUUCCUGGUGGAGCGGUGGAAUGCGCAGAUAUCAGGAGGGACACCAGUGGCGAAGGCGGUUCUCUGGGCCUUUCCUGACGCUGAGGAGCGAAAGCGUGGGGAGCGAACAGGCUUAGAUACCCUGGUAGUCCACGCUGUAAACGGUGGGUACUAGGUGUGGGGUCCAUUCCACGGGUUCCGUGCCGUAGCUAACGCUUUAAGUACCCCGCCUGGGGAGUACGGCCGCAAGGCUAAAACUCAAAGGAAUUGACGGGGCCCCGCACAAGCGGCGGAGCAUGCGGAUUAAUUCGAUGCAACGCGUAGAACCUUACCUGGGUUUGACAUGGAUCGGGAGUGCUCAGAGAUGGGUGUGCCUCUUUUGGGGUCGGUUCACAGGUGGUGCAUGCCUGUCGUCAGCUCGUGUCGUGAGAUGUUGGGUUAAGUCCCGCAACGAGCGCAACCCUUGUUCACUGUUGCCAGCACGUUAUGGUGGGGACUCAGUGGAGACCGCCGGGGUCAACUCGGAGGAAGGUGGGGAUGACGUCAAGUCCUCAUGCCCCUUAUGUCCAGGGCUUCACGCAUGCUACAAUGGCUGGUACAGAGAGUGGCGAGCCUGUGAGGGUGAGCGAAUCUCGGAAAGCCGGUCUCAGUUCGGAUUGGGGUCUGCAACUCGACCUCAUGAAGUCGGAGUCGCUAGUAAUCGCAAAUCAGCAACGCUGCGGUGAAUCCGUUCCCGGGGCC
RNAcentral lists this ribosomal RNA (1347 nucleotides) under uncultured bacterium. Its description in RNAcentral is "bacterial SSU rRNA". It matches the Rfam family "Bacterial small subunit ribosomal RNA", at positions 28 to 1381 of the family's 1533-position model. The record is from RNAcentral.